RNAcentral lists this ribosomal RNA (525 nucleotides) under Triticum aestivum (bread wheat). RNAcentral's name for it is "partial small subunit ribosomal RNA". The record is from RNAcentral. Lineage: Eukaryota; Viridiplantae; Streptophyta; Magnoliopsida; Poales; Poaceae.
UUGAAACCAAGGAUCUAUGGGAACAGCUUCAGAUUGGAGGCAAGGUGGCUAGAGGAAGAAGAAUGUGAAGCAGUGGUGAACAAUGCAUGGAAUACUGCCAGUUCAAGGGGCGAUGUCAAUACAUCAAGCAAGCUACAUGCAGUGGCAAGAGACCUAAAAUACUGGGAUCACAAUGUUCUUGGUGAUCUUGAGAAAAGAAUCAAGCAAACAAAAUUUGAGUUAGAGGAAAUCAGGAAAGGAGAUAUAAGUCAGGAAAAAGUCUUGAGAGAGCAUUUGUUAAGGGAAAAGCUAGAUAGACUGGAACAUCAGAAAGAUAUACACUGGAAACAACGAGCACAUGUUAAAUGGUUACAAUUUGGAGACAAGAAUACAACUUUCUUUCAUGCCUUUGCUUCAGAGAGGAAAAGGAAAAACACAAUUCAGAAAUUGAAAAGAGAGGACGGUAGCUGGGUGGAGGACGAAGACUCACUGAAAGAACAUAUUUUAGGCUACUUUUAUAGCCUUUUCUCCUCCACAGCGGGGUGA